GGGACGCCACAUGCAUCAUUCGCAUACAUCCAUGUUUUUCAUUGGUUGCAUUGCUCAUUGCAUUCUUUCCUUGAAAAAAAAAUGAACUUAAUCAUUGUUAUCAAAAAGAAAAGAACACACUUUAUGGUGCCCUUGCCGAACUCGUGCUAGAGCUAGAGUAAUGGGUGAAGUAGAUGAGGUGCAAGAGCAGAUGAAGGCCGACAUGG
Molecule: long non-coding RNA, 206 nt
Filed under: Glycine max (soybean)
Lineage: Eukaryota; Viridiplantae; Streptophyta; Magnoliopsida; Fabales; Fabaceae
Description: long non-coding RNA (GMAX_LNC000076)
Source: RNAcentral